Molecule: long non-coding RNA, 7335 nt
Organism: Bombus pyrosoma
Lineage: Eukaryota; Metazoa; Arthropoda; Insecta; Hymenoptera; Apidae
Exons: 5
Source: RefSeq, a predicted model, not a curated record
CGCACGCCACACACAGAACCAGAGUCGUCACCACUACUACGCGCCAACGUCGACCGUAUCGUCCGCACUACUACCACUACUACCGCCACCACUUCCACCAAUCCAGCGACCGACGCUAAUUGCAGUCAGCUCAUCGUUUUCCGUAAGCAUAGGAUAGUCGGUGCUGAAAGAAAGGAGCAUAGGCCACGUGAAAAAGCAGGACGAGUCGAGUCGAAGGACCGGAGAAAAAUAAAGAUAAAGGAAAGGUUCGAGAAACAGGAACAUCGCGGGAGGAAACAGAGGAAAAGGAGGAAAAGGAGGAAAAGGGGGCCAAUUACGCGAGGCUAGAGAAUAGAAGACGGAAAAGAGAAGAGAGUAAGUAGUAGAGCUUCGAAGCAUAGCUUAGCGUGGACCGACACGGCAUAUCCAUAGACAUAUACACUGUGUCUAUGGGCAUAUCGACGAGAUCCGAGAGCGGCCGAGCACGACCGAGCCGGGCCGACUCGGACCCUGCGCGCUCAACCCAAACCGGAGGAAGCAUAGUUGCAUUUAAACUGCCAUCCCACUGAGGUCUCUCUUCCGUAGUGUUGGAGUAGUCUGCUGGCUGGGCCAGCCGCACUCGACGAGUACGUGUCGCGUACCUUGCACCGUUCACCCGCACUCUCUUGCACCAUAUAACCGGACACUCUCUCGCGUGUGACACUUGCUUCUGUCUGUCGCGCUCACCCUCUCGUACGCUUCUCGUCUCGUCUCGUUUCGUCUCGCCUCCUCUCCGCUUUGUUUCGGGGAAAACGUGCGCCGGCUGGAUUCUCAACUCGCAAGAAAGAAAAAGGGUUUUCGUACGAGGAACGGACCCGAGCGUUUUCACCCGAGUUCCUUCUCUAUCAAGACUCGUGUGCAUCCUGCUGAUUCAAGAACGAAAAACUUCGGAAUCGAGAAAGGAGAAGAAAGAAAAGAGGAAAAGGGGACAGCGGUAUCGGUCGUCGAGUAUCGAGAUCGAAAUGUUUCCGGGAUAAUAGCGUUCAAUCGCAAUUUUCAACUAUUCGACUAUUUCAACCAUUCGAUGGCCAGAAUCUCGUGGAGAUCUAAUCGAUCGUACGGUGUCUGCAAUAAUCUUCUUUGUCUUGUUCGUGUUCGAGGAAACUCCAAGUUGAUUCAGUUGAGUGGACUAGCCGGGACUGUCAAAGUUGCGCCUCGGAGUCAGCUGCUUCCGUUACGUCGAGCCGCAGACCCGUGUCUAUAGGAUGUCCUCGAAACGCGCAUCGCGAGGUCUUCGUUUCUCUUUCAACGUUUUCGACCGAUCGUCGGCGAAAGAGAAGAAUUGGGGGGCAAGAGACGUUGUUCUUCUCGGGCAUCGAACAAAUAAAUACGAAUGGGCAGAUUUCGGAAAACGGUCGGGAAAGUAGACGUUGCCGUUUCACAUUUUGGUGUUCCCUUUGUCCAACUGGGUAGUAACUUGUUAGCCGGCCGCCUUGAAAUCUUAAACUCCGCCGCUCGUCCAAGAAACAGAGAGAGCCUGCUCGUUUUUCCUCCGUGAAUCCCCAUAGUUUUUCGCGUUCCCACCGAGAUCAGCGAGAAUAACUUGUUGACUUUUCUCUCGUGAGGGCAACCGCGACGUUUUCACCUGUAUUACGCCAAUCGAAUUUAAAUUUCUACGACGAUCUUUAUCCGCUAUAAUAUUUUCCAAGCACUCGCGGUGAAUCUGCUUCGAUACAAGCCAUCGUGUUCUUCCUUAUUUUCGCAAAGAUUCUUCGAUUAGCUCGCAACGCUGUAUGCAUGUUACGCGGAGCCACGUCGAUCAAUAAAACACGGCUAUUUCGAUCCGUGAAUUACGUAAUUUCCCGAAUUUCCCUAGCCAAUCCUCGGUGCUCUUUUUUGCCAUUGUGCUAACGAAUUUUUCACGUUUCUAACGAACAGAAAGCGAACGAGGCACAAAUAGCCACCUUCGCCGCUGUGCUAUUCCUCUCGUUCAAUUUCAUCGCCGGUUUCUUUCUCGCAAUUUUCGCAAGAGAACGCACAGAGAACCCAUUAUGCCACUACGGUAGUCGUCUACUUGAAAUUAUCGAUUCCAUCGAAAACGUUUCUUUCGCUUGUACUUCUCGCUCACCACAUCGCUCACCAAGAACGCUUUAUCAGUUAAUUAGCCGAGUUGAUCAGCGUCGUUUCAAAAACAGAGGGGAAACGAGUUUUUCGGGAAUCUGUUUCGAGAUUUAUCGUCAUUUCCGAUGUUCUUGUGAUUUUUCGUCGAACGCGGUCGACCGAUAUUUUCCAACGCUCCGACGUUGGUAAUUCCCGUGGAAAUCACGUAUGACGUAAGAUUUCAUCGAGUAUUCAUCGGUGUGAAACGGACAGGAAGAUUCGAGGCGAGAAUUUCUUACGAGCUUGGUUUUACAAUGCAUUUUUCUCGUUCUCCGCGACGAUUGGUCCAUACGAAAGGUAUCGAAACGCUGUUGCUACGUGCUCCGAUGGGGGCCACCUUUAAAGCCGAUAUCGCGGAACGAAGUACAUACUUGCUUGCUAUGACCGGGCGAAAUGCUUAAAAGUCCGAGACCGAUGAUCUGGAUAAUCUUCUACGAUUUCUGUGCAAGGCCCAACAUUCUCGAUCGAAAGAGACUCUUCGUUCCACUUUUGACCUUUCCCAGCCGAUCGAUCGGUCUCUGCGAUUUCAAGACCUAACCUGCUCUUUCCUGCAAACCAUUCUUCGUUUCUCCAUCCGUAUUUUAAUGAAUUCUGAUCGUUUCUCGCCGAAAUAACGACCUUCCUCGAGAAGACGAUGUCCUUCGACCGACGAAACGGACGGAAACGUUAAUCGCGGACAGAUUGGAAAAUAAUCGAAAAUCGAGGGAGCUGACGCGACGACCAUAGCCCCCAGAGUGUUGUGUAUCGUGCGAGGUUCGUUUCAGAAUGGUUCCUUUUCUUCCGUUCCGUUCGCACUCGUAAACGCGAAUUAUCGGCACGAGGCCAAAAUUGCGCCCCUUUUUCGCGCCUCUGACAUUUAGUUCGACGUUGUGCCAGCUUUCCCAGUCUCUUUACGUUUCUCAAAAUCGUCGCCUCCCGAAAUUAAUAGAUCGCAGACUCGUCGACAUCGUCGGAAAUCGGUCCGAUAUCGAUAUCGAAGUGAAUAUAAAUUAAUAAGGAACCGCGCGGAUUAAAGCGAAUAGCUUCAAAGAAAGAUGAAUCGAUGUGCGGUGUUGGAGUUAAAAGCGACAUCGUUCGGUGGAUGACGCGCCGACAAAUUGUAAUUCCGAUUCGCAGCUUCUGCAGUUGUCGGUUGAUACUCGGUUCCGUGUCGCGGGCUCGUUACGAGCGACCAAAAGGUAAUUUCUUACUCGGCGUAAUAACACGUUCCUGUGUACACACAUCGUCGGCCACUUUUCCGCAACUAUUAGCCCAAUUAGCUCGGACCAGCUUCACCGUCAACUGUUGCACGCGAGUUCUAACAACGAAUCGACGGGAUUGGACGCGGCAACUGCCUAUCGAUCAAUUAGCCAUUCCGUCGCAACUUUGCCCCUCCGUUUUUCAAAAUGUCAUUAAUCGGGAACGGAUAAUUUUUCGAUGGUUCGCAGCAAUUUCUAACUUGGAUUUUCUGGCCUAGAGACGCGCUUAAUCGUCGCGUUUGUUCCACGUUGGCGAGCUUCUAUCGAUCAAAAACGAUCUCGCCUGUAAUUCAUCGUUUAGAAAUUUCCAAGUACUUGGUACAAACGACCCUCGGUUGUUGUAUUUACAUUCUUCGUUUCUAUCAUCCUGACAUAUUUCGUAGCUUUAGCAGGAUAUUUCGGUGCGAAACUGCUCGUUUUAAUAGACCUCUUUUAAGAGAAAGUAAGAAGUUAAUUAGUUCGCGAUAAUUAAAAAAACUCGUUUCUUCCUUAAUGUUGGCUGUGGCUUGCCGAUUUCUAAAUAGUCAAUAGCUAAUUUCCAAUCUCUUAACUUCAGGUACCUUAGAUGCGAAAUAAUUCGUUUUAUCGAACGAAAAUAUUUCUUACCUCGUAUCGUUUCGAACCUGUCGAUUCGCUAGCCUAAUUCUUUAUGUUCCAUCGAUUAAAUCGAAGAAUAAUAAAAAACAUUUGCCUCCGUCAAUUAAAACGGGUAUUCAUCUAAAAUCAUUCUCCCUCGACGCUUUAUCCGAUUCUAGCUUCGAUCCUUUUAACUCCGACAAUAUCGAAAAACGAUUAAAAUCUUUCGACGAAAAUCUUUCCAAAGCGAAGCUCUUCUUUCGUCUUCUUUUUUCUUUUUUUUUUUUUUUCUUUUUUUUCUUGUUCGAAAAUGGUCUCUCGAUACUCGGCGCAGGCCGAGAGAAUUCGUCCGCUCUGUGAGAAAAUGAAUAGAAUCGAUCGAUCCGAGAAAGGGAGUAGUAAAUUCACGUGAGUGAUCGGGAAGGAUUGAUGAGAACGGUUCUUUCCAAGAGCCAGGAACAGACGACGAGCAUCGUUUUUCACGUUGGGCGAAAUCGGAGACCUGCCGUUGCUUUGCAAACGCCGUGAACCUUGGGAGUGAUCACCCCUUGAUCAAUUAUCCAUCGUUCGGCGAAGGACCAAAAUUCGUGCCGGUGCCACAAUCCGUGCAGUUGGUGAUCGAACGCCUAUAGUAACACUUGCCAAAGCGAAAUUAUAUUUCGCGACAAGGGUGUUAAUGAACGAGCUCGGGCUUCAAGCUUAAAAUAUUCGAGCGAUCUAAGGUUCUCCAGAAGUCUGUUCUCAAAGUACGAAUCGGAAAAAUUGGCAGUCAAAAACCGUAUAUACUUGGAGAUUUUGCCGAACCACGAACAAUGGAGAUUCGAGUGUCGUCUCUCGAGGCAAAGGGAGAAAGAGCGAAUAGUAGGAUGAAACAUGGUACGGUCUUGAUUCCUUGGCUGCCACUGCUGAGUGCGGAGCUUCGCAGAGUUCUCUCCGCGCUCUUCACUUCUUUCUUUCCCUUCGAUUCUCUCCUUCACUAUCCGACAGCCUAUUUUUCCGCAACUUCUGAUGGCUCUCGAGGUCCCUGUCUUACCGUGUCCUCGUGGCGGCGCUAUUGCGUAAAAUCGGAGAAGAGGCAGCGCGUUCCUCGCCCGGAGCAACGUGACAACGGAAAGAAGAAACACUCGAGCAUGUCCCAGCAGUGUAAAAUUCGAACGUUACGGUCGGGCCUGACUCUUUGCUCUGCCCGUACUUUUCCUUCUGGGUGAGCAAAGUUUCAGGUGUGUCCGUGACAGUCUAUCGUCGCAGCCUGUGAUUUCUUUCCUCGGCCUAUGGAUCCAUCGUAGUCGAUGCAACGAAUAACGAACAAUAACGAUCUUCGGUCGAGCGUUGACAUUGAAAAACUGCCAUCGGCUGGAAAACGUCCAAACUAUUCUAGAAAAGAGUCGAUUUACGAGGGUAAGCAGGGCGAAGUGCGCGAUAAAUACCUAGGUGGAAAUCAAGCAUCCUCGACAGUACUCUUACGCCUGAAAUUUGCUUUUUACCUGGCCCUCGUGCUCUCUUACUUUGAGAAAAUAAAGGUGAGCAAAGUUUCAGGUGUGUGAGUGCGUUGGAAUCAACAAGUAAACUCGAAUGGUAAGACCUUAGAAUAAAAUUCGGAAUCGCGCUGCUUCCAUGGAUCUCUUGUGGACAAAAAUUGAAAUCGUAUCAAAAGGAGAAAUUACAUUCGCCCAAUUUUCAUUACAUCGGAAACACGUUUAAGGAAAUUAUUAUACAUGUAUAUUAUAUUUGUGAACCAUGAAAUAGAGAUUUUCUCCUAAUCACAAAUUUAUUUCUUUUGACAAUUUGAGAAUUUCAAUGCUACGAUAAACGACUCGGAAGAAAGCUAACCUUGUGGAAUAAAAAGCUUCGUCAAUGUCGUAAACGAUGCGUCUAAGAGUAAGUCUAAAAUUAGCAAUGAAAUUAGGCAGGCUUUGGAAACACUAAUAAAUCAACUGAAGCGUUACGAUCUGGUUUCCGUCACUGUCAGGCUUCCUCCUAUAUAUGUAAAUCAAUAACCAACUGGUUUAAAGCCGAUGUGGUUGAGAGAAUCCAAUUUCACACAUUUAAACUUUUAUAUUUAAGAUUAAGAUAUUCCAUCACGUGUAAAUAACGAGUCUUUAAUUCGUUCAUUCUUGUACGUGAAAACCAAGCAGAUAUUGUACGAUAAAAAGUAACUGAAAGAAAUAUUAAAAAAUUAAGAGAACAAUCUGUCCAAAUUAUUUAAGUUGUAAUAAUAUCCCUAACUUUGUAUCCUGAAAACGGUUAAUGCUUACAUCUGUACACGCGCGAAUCCCGUUCCUAACAUUUUCAUGAAAUAAAUAUAAAAAUUAUUUAUCACAAACGAACCAAUUACGGUACGCGAAAGUAAAGAUGUAGAUGAGUAAAUUAAAAUUUGUGAACCCUACUCGAAUUAAGUUAUCACCAUCCGCUACUCAAGAACCGAUUACCAAACGAAUUGCUUAUCCAAUAAUAUUUAAUCGUCUUCGGUAAAGUAAUAGCGACAAGGGACAACGAUAAUCCCACGAAUUAUUUCCAUUUAAAUGCGAGUUUACCCCAGGCAGUUAAUUCAUCAAAAGCGUCCCAUCACCGAAGGGGGAGCGCGCAAGAAGUUAUUAGCACUUUUAGGUUUAUGCUCGGCCUUUAACUUUCACCGUUCAAAAUUAGAAAAGCAACGAAUCAUAGUCGCGAAGGACGAAUUUUAGAAUUUUAGAAUUAUAUUAUAUAUAGAAUUAUAUUAUAAAUCGCGUUUUUAACGAUUAUUAUAGCAAGGUAUUACAUCGAUACCGCUAUUAUACUAACGAUAACUUGGCAAGUUCGUUAUUACCAAAAGUUUCUAUCAUACCGGCGCUAAUAAUAUUGCAGGCAUCGAGCUUAAACUGUUAACACGUCGACCAGCCGGUAUCGUGCAUUCGAAAUGUAUUAUUCGCGAUAAGAACAAGCCGAAUUAUCGUGCUUUGUACAAGAACCAGACAUUGAAUAAGUUGUAUGUGUGUGUGUGUUAUCUGCUUACGUUCUUUAUUACACUUUUUCAACGGCGUAGAUUAAUUGGAAAAGUUGCUAUCCGAUAGUUGAAUUCUUUCUCCCGACAACGUUCGCCGCGAAUGAACAAGGGAAAUUAUUUCUAUGCCGUAAAUGAACACGGAACGUAAAAAUAAUGGUAUUUGACAAGAUAUAAGAAGUAUGUUAGUUUUCGAAAGAAACACUUAAGUACAAAACGAUAUCGCCUCCUUCUCCUACAAACGUAUUGAAACCCGAAUAAUAGAUAUUUAUUCACUGGCGACUAUUCGUUUUCUAUUUUUUUACGGCUUUAGCGUCAAACCGCGUUCCCAUUCGUACUCACGUUCGUGAAUUAAACGUAUGGCGUAUGGAGAUAAACGCUUAACCCAGGGUCGGACAAUGCAAUUCGACGUAAACGGAUCCU